CGUGUCAAUCAAACCAAGUGUUCCUUGUGCUGCUUGCCAUUGAGAAAGCACGUUUAGCGUAAUUAUGGUCGACGUUAAGCUCCUAAAAAUACGACCACUAUGUUGGAAUUAAAUCUUAGCUAAAUCACGGUGAUUCUAAGCUGCGAAGUUGACGUUUACAGAGCCUUUCAAGGCAGCUUUAGGCCGGAAAAUACUCUAGGAAUGCUAAGAGGAGGAUCCACCAAUCAGACUAUGACAAGACGACGCUUUGAAUAUCUGUGACGACACCAACUGAAAUUGAGAGGCAACCCUUUUCUCGUUAGCCUGCUAUUGGCUACAGCCCAGCUUGGACCCGCCUUCCACAAGUCUUCCGAUUGGCCGCGCGACGUGUCAAUCAAAACAGGAUGUGGGAGGAAACUGGAGUACCUGGAGAAAACCCACGCAGGGACAGGGAGAACAUGCAAACUCCACACAGGAGAGGCCAGAUUUGAACCCCAGUCGUCAGAACCACCAUGCUGCCCAAACUGGAACACAAGGAUAUUAAAUGUGGAUUGAUAAUGAAAAAUAAAAACUGACGUAUAACACCAUGUU
Phyllopteryx taeniolatus (common seadragon) is the source of this 570-nucleotide long non-coding RNA. RefSeq lists it as uncharacterized. NCBI's taxonomy places the organism in Eukaryota, Metazoa, Chordata, Actinopteri, Syngnathiformes, Syngnathidae. The record is from RefSeq and is a predicted model, not a curated record. The transcript is spliced from 3 exons.